This 2310-nucleotide long non-coding RNA is filed under the name Notechis scutatus (mainland tiger snake). RNAcentral describes it as "lncRNA (ENSNSUG00000006653.1)". Lineage: Eukaryota; Metazoa; Chordata; Lepidosauria; Squamata; Elapidae. The record is from RNAcentral.
GGAUGUUUCUCCAAGGGAGCAAUUGAAGGUCACUGAAGGUCCUUUCACAGCGGAGGUAGGUGUUGGUUAAGAGGAGGUGGAACAAAAUCCAUCUGUGCUCCACCUUUCCUUCAACAAAGUCCUUUCUUUUCAGAUAACCCCACUCAGUCAGGAGAUCCAAGGAACAUCAGAAAUUGCUGUUAUUGGUGAUCAGGCAAUGGAGUCCUUUAUCAGACCUUCCAAAUUUCCCAAAAGAUGUGAGGGACAGGAAGAAUCUGAACAAAAGUUCUCAGCAUCUUCUGUAUGCCUCAGUGACACUGCCGAACUAGGAUCAACAACACCUAUGACUGAUAGCAUCCAACAGACACCCUUGAAGUCACCAACUAUGACUGGCGGACUCUAUCAAAGAAAAUAUGAAGAAUCUGCUUUAAUGGAAAUUGCAAAGGAAGACAUAAUAGAAGAGUUGACAGAUGCAGUUUGUAGUCAGUAUUGUAGUCAAUUGAAGCCAGAUGAACAUUUGGCAGAAAGACGAGAACUUGGGCAAAUGGAAAAGGCAGGAAAAACAGGGAUGAGUCAGGAAGCAGAACAAGACAGAAAUAUAUUAGCUGAGGGGAUUGAGCAAGGAGCACCAAAUUGGGCAGCAUCUGUAGAACAGAAAAGAGGACCUGAAGGGGCAGAGUGGACUGGGGAAAUUGUUCAUGAUAGUUUGGAAGAGAGAGCUGAGAUUAUGAAUAAUCAACAAUUAGAGUUUGAGAAAGAACAGGAAGAAGGAAAGGUGGGUGAGAAAGAACAGGAAGNNNNNNNNNNAGGUGGGUGAGAAAGAACAGGAAGAAGGAAAGGUGGGUGAGAAAGAAUGGAGAGAGAUAAAUAUAGCAGCACUAAACCAGGCAGAGGAUAAGAUGCUUGAAGAGGAAAGAACAGUUGGAAAAAGUCAGCUGUGGGAUGAAGAAGAAGAAAAAAUCACAGAAGAUCAGGAAAAAGAGUUGGAAAAUAUGUUGUGGAAUGAGGGAAUUCAACAAAAGCUCCAAGACUUGACACAGAAUAGAGAGGAAAAUCAGAGAGGACAAGAAGAGGCAACAUGGACUAGGGGAACUCAGCAAGAUAGAUUGGAGGACAUGGCCAAGAUGGCAAGAGACCAGCAGUUAAAUGUUGAGAAGCAACAAGAAGAUACAAAAGUGGAUGGGAACGAACAGGUAAAAACAAGUGUGACAGCAGAAAUUGAAAGAGACCAGGUGACGAUGCCAGAAGAGAAAGGAAAAGAUGAAAGAAGCUGGAAUUUGGAAGAAUGGCUGGGAGGAAUUGAAGAGGGGAAGGACAAAAAGCUGGAUGAAAAGGAAAGAGGACUAGAGGGAGUUACUUGGACAGAUAAACUUCAGUAUGAUGCACUAAAUGUUACAAUAAUGAAGACCCAGUGUUUAGAAUCUGGGGAGGAACAGGGAAAAGCCACAGAGCUGGACACAGACCACCUGAUAAUGAAGGAGAUAGCAGCAAAGAAGGAAGAAGUUCAGCAACCACCCCUGGACAAAGAGAUGGAAACAAGCCAGAAGAAGGCAUUAGAACAGGAAGAAAAGGAGAUAUAUCUGCACUGGGAGCCCAAAGAAACUGAGAUUAUGAUAGAACAUAAAAGGGAGACACCAGAAUUGGAAAAGGGGGGAAACUCUAAGCAGGGAGAUUUACCUGAGAAAGGAAAGACAGAAGAAAAUCUGAAGCAGGAAGUAGAGGAAUCUGUGAAAAAUGAGAUACACUUUAUAGGGGAAAAACAGGAACAGCAAACAAGAGAAGAAUGUCAGGAAAGUAACCAGGAAGAACAGCCUGAGAUAUUGGUAGAUACUUGUGGUCUUAGUGUAGUGCCUGAGACUACAUCAGAUCAGUCAACUCAACUGGAAGAGACCACAAAGAGCCUGGUCUAUCCAACCUCUCUUGAUACAGACCUCCUGGCUGGACCCAGAGCUUUCCCACAUGAUGUCACAACACUGGAUAACAGUGCCCAGAAGGAACGGGUGUUGCUACAUCGUAAGAGCUCCAUUCGACGAGCACCCAGCUUGAAGAAACCAAAGCCAUCAGCAGAGGCUCCAACACAAGAGACAAAUAUGGCUGAAGAUGCUCCAUCUUUAUUGGAAGUAUCAAAGAGACAAAACCCAAGAUUGUCUGGGUUUGGGUCUAUGCACCCCAAUAUGAUGGCUGAACUUCAGAUGCGCCUGCAAAAGCCAAAGUGACUUGCGGUUCUGAGAGCUUUAUCAAGUAAUGAGCUUGCAUGUUUUUGGCUCUAUCCUGGAUCAAGGCACCCUAAACCAAUAAUUUUGAAAGCAAUGGAAGCACCAUCUCUGCUCU